AGAGAGAAGAAGAGAGAAAACCAAGAGAGCAAGGGAAGAAGAGGAAGAUUGAAGGAAGAAGCAAGGGAGCUCCUCCCCAAGGUUGUGAUGGUCCAGAUCCACUACCUUGUCUCCUUCAAGCUUCGGUUCCACCAUCCUUGGUGAGAUUGUUCCAAUCCCUAGUUCUUGAGCUCCAAAUCCUGUUGUGUUCAUCCAAGAUUCAGAAAUCUUGAUGUAUGAGAUCCUCUAGUGCUGUCUAGAGAAGAACUUGUUGUAUCCCACGUUUGAUAAUAGUGGAAGAGGAUUUGGGUGGCUUCGGACCGUGGUUUUUCCCCUCAAGUUGGGGAAUUUUCCACGUAAAAAUCUGGUGUCUCUUUGUUGAUGCUUGAUGCUGUCAGGAAAACUUACUCCUACCACAAGACACUAGGCUGAGGAGUGUCUUGCCUGCUGAGUAACAUUUUCUGCCUCCAUAUAUGCUGCUGCAUAUGUUUCCUUCCGUGCUAAGCAACGAUCCUUGAAUUAGUACAUGAUGUGGUGCUGAGAUUACUUGUUUCCGUUGCAGUUUUCAGUUAACCACAAGUGCAUUUGUGUGCUAAUUCUCAACAGAGUGGUAUCAGAGCCUUGGUUGCUUAGAAGGUUGCAAAUCACAGUUGCUUGAUUAUUGCUGGAAGAGCUGCUCACAAUGGCUUUGGAAGAAAGCGCUACUACAAGUGGCAUGAUAAAACUUGAUUCUUCCAAUUACUCAUUAUGGAAGCCCACGAUGGAAGACAUCCUUUAUUGCAAGGAUUUGUAUGAGCCAAUUGUGAAAGACAAGAUACCCACGGGUGUCACGGAAGAAGAAUGGAGAGUGUUGCACAGAAAGGCAGUAGGUAUGAUUCGGUUGUACAUCAACCACAAUAUUUUCCACCAUGUUGCAAAUGACACAAAUGCAUAUGAGAUGUGGCAGAAGUUAGAGUCCAUGUAUGAGAGGAAGACAUCAUUGAACAAGGCCUCGGUGAUCAAAAGACUUGCAAAGCUUGAGUACCGAGAUGGCACAAGUGUGAUUGAGCACUUGAAUGUCUUCCAAUGCCAUAUAAAUCAACUUUCAGCCAUGAAGAUCAACUUUGAGGAUGAGGUGCAAGCAUUGUUGCUGCUGAGUUCCAUGCCUGAUAGUUGGAACACGCUUGUUGUGUCACUUAGCAAUUCAGCUCCGGAUGGGAAGCUGACUUUGGAGAUGGUGAAGAACAGUAUGCUGAAUGAAGAAGCCAGAAAGAAGGAAAAGGGUGAUGCCUCUUCUUCUGAUGCGUAUGUGGCUGAAACCCAUGGGAAGAAUGAGAACCGUGGACGCAACAAUACAAGAUUUCAGCAAGGCAAAAGCAAAUCCAGGGGGAGAUCAAAGUCAAAAUAGAGAAAAGAUAUCACUUGCUUUCAUUGUGGCAAUCCGGGACACAUAAAGAGCGAGUGCAGGAAGUACAAGAGAGAGCUUGCAGAGGGGAAACUCACAAAUAAAACCGAGCAAAAGGCUGAGAGCAGUUCAGCCAUGACCGCAAUAGAUGAGGACUAUCUAGUCAUUGAAGAUGAAGAUUGCUAUAGUGUUGUUCGUGAUGAUGCCAUGAGUUGGGUUGUGGAUUCAGGUGCGUCCUUCCACAUCACAUCACACAAGGAGUAUUUCACAUCUUACACUAGUGGUGUUACUGGCCAAGUGAGGAUGGGAAAUAGUGGUUCGUCAGCAAUUGUUGGCAAGGGCUCUAUAUGCAUUGAAACAAACACAGGUUGCAGAUUGGUGCUCGAUAAUGUGAGGCAUGUUCUCGACAUAAGGCUGAAUUUGUUGUCAGUGGGCAAGCUUGAUGAUAUCAAACAUCCUAGUUAUUUUGGUGAAGGAAAGUGGAAGCUCACCAAAGGCUCUUUGAUUGUGGCUCGAGGAAGUAAGCAAGGUAAUCUCUAUGUGACUAAAACCAAGUUGUGCAAUGAGGUGUUGAAUGUUCCGGAAAAAGACACUUCGGUUGAAUUGUGGCACAAGAGGCUUGGGCAUAUGAGUGAGAAGGGCAUGCAUGCUCUUGCUCGCCAUGGAGUACCUCCUGAGUUGAAAGGUAUAUCCUUGAAACCCUGUGCACAUUGUUUUGCUGGCAAACAACACAGGGCUGCAUUUCGUACACUCUCUCCACAUCGUGCAGAUAAUGUUCUUGAUAUUGUGCACACUAACGUUUGCUCCAUGACUGAAAAAUCUCAUGGCGGAGCAUUAUACUUUGUGACUUUUAUUGAUGACCAUUCCAGAAAGGUUUUUGUGUAUGUGCUGAAACACAAAUACCAAACGUUUGAAGCCUUCAAGGAGUUCCAUGCCAAAGUUGAAAGAGAAACUGGUAGGAAAUUGAAGUGCGUAAGAUCAGACAAUGGUGGUGAAUAUAGAGGUCCUUUUGAAAGGUAUUGAAGAAAUGUUGGCAUCAGGCUUGAGAAGAGUCCGCCAAAGACACCCCAGCUCAAUGGUCUUGCAGAGAGAAUGAACAUGACACUCACAGAGAGGGUCACAGUUAUGCUCUCUCAUGCUCAUUUACCUAAUUCAUUUUGGGCUGAAGCUUUGAUGAAUGCUAUGUAUGUGGUUAACCUAUCUCCAUCAGUUCCUCUUGCAGGUGAUAUUCCUCAGAGAGUUUGGUCAGGGAAGGAGGUAUCAUACAAGCACUUGAAGGUCUUUGGCUGCAGGGCAUUUGUACAUGUUCCAAGGGACGAGAGAUCCAAGCUUGAUAGCAAGACAAAGCAGUGCAUCUACCUCAGCUAACCAAGUGAAGAGUUUGGCUACAGGUUGUGGGAUCCAGCCAAUAGAAAGAUUGUGAGAAGCCGAGAUGUGGUGUUCAUUGAAGAUGAAACAAUAAAAGAUAUUGGGAAACCAGAGAAGCCAAUGACCAACACACCUCAGGUUGACAUGGAUCCAAUCCGUCCUCCUCUCGUGCAUGACAAUCAUGGGGGAGAUGAUGACACUGAAGACAGUGGAGAUGCAACUGAUCAAGGCAGUACAAGUCAAAGUGGCGAGCAGCCAUCAAGUGAUGAUGAUGAUGAAGUUGGUAAUGAUGAUGCCAACGAAAAUCCACCUGAUUGACCACCAGUGCAGCAGCAAAGAAGAAGUGAAAGAGGUCGCAUUCCUUCUUCUAAGUAUCCACCACAUCAAUAUGUGUUGAUGACAGAUGCAGGUGAGCCCUCAUGCUAUGAGGAGGCAAUGUCUGAUGAGAACAAAGAAGAAUGGUCAGAAGCCAUGCAAGAUGAGAUGAAUUCCUUGUAUGAGAAUUAUACUUUUGAGUUGGUGAAACUGCCAAAGGGCAAGAAAGCACUCAAGAACAAGUGGGUGUACAGAGUGAAGACUGAAGAAAACACCUCACAUCCAAGGUACAAGGCCAGAUUGGUUGGGAAAGGAUUCAGUCAGAAAAAGGGCAUUGAUUAUAGUAAGAUAUUCUCUCCAGUGGUCAAGAUGUCUUCGAUCCGAGUUGUGCUUGGCAUGGCUGCCACCAUGGACAUGGAAAUUGAACAACUUGAUGUGAAGACAACUUUCUUGCAUGGUGACCUAGAGGAGGAGAUAUACAUGGAGCAGCCAGAGGGAUUCAUGGUUGCAGGUAAGGAGCACUUAGUUUGCAAAUUGAAGAAGAGCUUGUAUGGCUUGAAGCAAGCUCCUCGGCGGUGGUACAAGAAGUUUGAGUCUUUUAUGACUGGGCUUGGUCACCAUAAAGCACAACCUGACCAUUGUAUCUUUAUGAAGAGGUACGCCGAGGGUGACUUCAUUAUUCUCUUGUUGUAUGUUGAUGAUAUGCUGAUUGUUGGAAAUGGCACAAAGAGGAUUGCUCUCCUCAAGAAGUCAUUGAGUAAAUCAUUUGCCAUGAAGGAUUUAGGACCAGCUAAGCAAAUACUUGGCAUGAAGAUCUCCCGUGAUAGAUCAAAGAAGCUGCUUUGGCUCUCACGGGAAAGAUACAUUGAGAAGGUACUUGAAAGGUUCAAUAUGAAAGAUGCAAAAUCUGUUCUCUCUCCGCUUGCAGGCCAUCACAAACUGAAUUCUAAACAAUGUCCUACAAGCAAGAAGGAGAAAGAAGAAAUGAGGAAAGUACCUUACCAAUCUGCCGUGGGCAGUUUGAUGUAUGCCAUGGUAUGCACUAGGCCUGACAUUGCCUAUGCAGUUGGAGUUGUUAGCCGGUUCAUGAAAAAUCCAGGUAAAGCUCACUGGGAAGCAGUGAAGUGGAUUCUCAGGUAUCUCAAGGGUACUCCUACAUCUUGUCUAUGCUUUGGAAGUGGUGAUCCUGUAUUGCAGGGCUAUACAGAUGCAGAUUAUGCAGGUGACAAGGAUCGUAGGAAGUCCACAUCCGGAUACCUGAUGACUUAUGCAGGGGGAGCAGUGUCAUGGAAAUCAAGAUUGCAGAAAUGUGUUUCUACAUCAACUACAGAAACUGAGUACAUUGCAGCAGUUGAUGCUGGCAAGAAAGUUUUGUGGAUGAAGAACUUCUUGCAAGAGCUCAGCAUGAAGCAAGAGAAGUAUGUUCAGUUUUGUGAUAGUCAGAGUGCUAUUCAUCUUGCCAAGAAUUCAAGCUAUCACUCUCGAACCAAGCACAUUGAUGUGAGGUACCAUUGGAUUCGAGAUGUUGUGAGUUCCAAGUUGCUGAAACUUGAGAAGAUCCAUACAGACGACAAUGGUUCGGAUAUGAUGACCAAGAUAUUACCAAAUGAGAAGCUACAAGCAUGUUGCAAGGUAGCGGGCAUGGCGCUGCCCCCCUCAUGAGUCGGAGGGGGAGAUUUGUUGGGAUAUCCUCCUCAUGUGGGCUGUGAGGAGAUGGUCAUUUGAGGCCUUUUAGGCAGCCCAUAGAGGUGCAAAAGCCCACUACCCAUUAGGGUUAUGACCUAGGGUCAUUUUGGACUUUGCACAUGAGUGGAUGGGGAUGCUUUACCCUCCAUCCAGUAGCCAUCACCAAGUGUGACGAAAAUCAGUUCAUCCUCCAAGAGAGAAGAAGAGAGAAAACCAAGAGAGCAAGGGAAGAAGAGGAAGAUUGAAGGAAGAAGCAAGGGAGCUCCUCCCCAAGGUUGUGAUGGUCCAGAUCCACUACCUUGUCUCCUUCAAGCUUCGGUUCCACCAUCCUUGGUGAGAUUGUUCCAAUCCCUAGUUCUUGAGCUCCAAAUCCUGUUGUGUUCAUCCAAGAUUCAGAAAUCUUGAUGUAUGAGAUCCUCUAGUGCUGUCUAGAGAAGAACUUGUUGUAUCCCACGUUUGAUAAUAGUGGAAGAGGAUUUGGGUGGCUUCGGCCCGUGGUUUUUCCCCUCAAGUUGGG
RNAcentral lists this long non-coding RNA (5249 nucleotides) under Triticum aestivum (bread wheat). Its description in RNAcentral is "long non-coding RNA (TAES_LNC026605)". The record is from RNAcentral. Lineage: Eukaryota; Viridiplantae; Streptophyta; Magnoliopsida; Poales; Poaceae.